UCUGGGGUCUAGCUCAGCAAGCGGGCACCCCCCAGGGACUGCAGGCACCGUGCCUUCCUGAUUGGGACAGUCUGCGGCGUUUCCUUACUGCGAAAGCCUCCACCAGUCAGGCUCGUGGCGAGUGACUGGAGGGGUUAUUUCUGUCACAAACACAUGGAAGGCAACAGGUGCCACCAACCCUACAACACACCAGGCCAGUUCCAGACUCUGCCAUCCAUCAUCGAAUCAGGCCCAAGAUUUUAUCAGACGCCCCCAAGGGAGAAAGGCUGCGGAUCUUGCUGACACACCUGUGUCCUCCAGGUUCAUCCAUGCCGUGAGCAAGAAUGGGGAGAAACUGGAACUGUUGUCCGUGGCUGGUGGGAAUGUAAAAUAAGGCAGCUGCUGUGGAAAACAGCCAGAAGGGGGAAACAGCCUGCAUGUCCACCUGUGGAUGCUUGGAUAAACAAAUUGUGACGUAGACACACAACAGAGUACGCCGCUGUGAAAAGAAAUGAAGUCCUGAUACGAGCUCCCAAGCCUGGAAACCUCAUGCUAAGAGAAAGAUGCCAGCACAAAUCCGGAAAAUGCGUAUCCCAUCGAAACAGAAAGCAGAUUGGUGUUUGCCAGGGGCUGGGGGGAAGAAGGGAGUGAGGAGUGACUGCUUCACGGCUAUGAGUUUUUCUUUGGGGGUGAUGAAGAUGUUUCAGAACCAGAUGGAGUGGUGAUUAUACAACAGUUUGGAUGUGCUAAACACCCCAGAAUUGUAUACUUUAAAAAGGUUAAUUUGGGGGAACCCAAGGGAGGGCAAAGAAAACAAAACAUAUGUAGUCCUAGUGGCUUCUGCUCUCAUCCAGGUCUGGGUUCCCUAAGUCUAACCUGCACACAACUGAGGGCACGGGAAAUAAGAAUUUUAGGCAGUAUGCAGGUAGAUUAAAAUUUUCUAAUGGCUUUGUAUUUAUUUCAAUAAGUAUAAAAACAUAACUGGCAAAUCAAAAUCAUGAUUUCACUUACAUGUUUUCUUAAGGAUGAGCCCACACUAAAUAUUCAUGUAAAAAAGUGACUUCAUUUAAAGAAAAAAGAUUUUUAAAAAAGGUUAAUUUUAUGUCAUGUGAAUUUCUCCUUAUAAAAGAAAGGGAAUAAAUGCUGAAA
Molecule: long non-coding RNA, 1128 nt
Organism: Camelus dromedarius (Arabian camel)
Lineage: Eukaryota; Metazoa; Chordata; Mammalia; Artiodactyla; Camelidae
Exons: 4
Source: RefSeq, a predicted model, not a curated record